GUAGAAUUCCACGUGUAGCAGUGAAAUGCGUAGAGAUGUGGAGGAAUACCGAUGGCGAAGGCAGCCCCCUGGGAUAACACUGACGUUCAUGCUCGAAAGCGUGGGUAGCAAACAGGAUUAGAUACCCUGGUAGUCCACGCCCUAAACGAUGUCGAUUAGCUGUUGGGCAACUUGAUUGCUUAGUAGCGUAGCUAACGCGUGAAAUCGACCGCCUGGGGAGUACGGUCGCAAGAUUAAAACUCAAAGGAAUUGACGGGGACCCGCACAAGCGGUGGAUGAUGUGGAUUAAUUCGAUGCAACGCGAAGAACCUUACCUGGUCUUGACAUGUACGGAACCUUCCAGAGACGGAAGGGUGCCUUCGGGAGCCGUAACACAGGUGCUGCAUGGCUGUCGUCAGCUCGUGUCGUGAGAUGUUGGGUUAAGUCCCGCAACGAGCGCAACCCUUGUCAUUAGUUGCCAUCAUUUAGUUGGGCACUCUAAUGAGACUGCCGGUGACAAACCGGAGGAAGGUGGGGAUGACGUCAAGUCCUCAUGGCCCUUAUGACCAGGGCUUCACACGUCAUACAAUGGUCGGUACAGAGGGUAGCCAAGCCGCGAGGUGGAGCCAAUCCCAGAAAACCGAUCGUAGUCCGGAUUGCACUCUGCAACUCGAGUGCAUGAAGUCGGAAUCGCUAGUAAUCGCAGGUCAGCAUACUGCGGUGAAUACGUUCCCGGGUCUUGUACACACCGCCCGUCACACCAUGGGAGUGGGGGAUACCAGAAGCAGGUAGGGUAACCGCAAGGAGCCCGCUUGCCACGGUAUGCUUCAU
This 810-nucleotide ribosomal RNA is filed under the name Eikenella corrodens. RNAcentral's name for it is "bacterial SSU rRNA". It matches the Rfam family "Bacterial small subunit ribosomal RNA", at positions 661 to 1472 of the family's 1533-position model. Lineage: Bacteria; Pseudomonadati; Pseudomonadota; Betaproteobacteria; Neisseriales; Neisseriaceae. The record is from RNAcentral.